This 1465-nucleotide long non-coding RNA is filed under the name Anas platyrhynchos platyrhynchos (common mallard). RNAcentral's name for it is "lncRNA (ENSAPLG00000026471.1)". The record is from RNAcentral. Lineage: Eukaryota; Metazoa; Chordata; Aves; Anseriformes; Anatidae.
AUGUAUGAGACGGGAUGCCCCUGCUGCACAGCUUUGCCUCUGUUUUGUUUUCCUGGUAAUUAUAGAAACUGUUUACUGUACAUGAAAAAUCUGCAAGUUUUCUCAGCUCUUGAGGACAAUACUAUUUGUAAUUCCUUUUCUCUGGAGAGAGUGACAGUUCACAGUGCAAAGGCCUGCUUCUUCCCAAGAAGAACUUUCCCACGGCCUCCCAAACCAAGACUGCAAUGGAAAUCACCACAGAUGUCUAUGGAUCAGCAUGGUGAUAGCAAACAGAAAAGAGAAGUAUGGGACUUGUACGGCAGCACAGCAGCUCAGCCCAAGACCCUUUGUACUUCUGUCUGCAGCCUGGCCCUUGUCCCUGGCAUGUUUCUCUCCACGUGUAUAUCUGCUUUUCUAUCCUUUCACAUCCUCCCGUUCUUAUCAGCAGGGGAUUGCAUCUCACCUGCAGUGGGGCAGCUAGUCUGAACUAGUCCCCUACUAGUCCUCCUAGUCCAAACUAGUCCCCCACUAAUCCUCCACCUCCAUGCUGCAAUCACUGGUGUGUCUCAGGAGGAGAGCACAUGAAAGGCAGUGGCUUAUCCCACUGCAAACAUUUUAUCUGGGGACUGUCACCCUCCAAGCUGCCAGGAUGUCCACACUGACUGUAGAGGGAGGCUGCUGGACUAGCUCAGGCCAGACAUAAGUUUUAAAUACCUAAAUUUAGGUUGGAAGAAUUUCACUCAGUCUCACAGCAGUUCCCAAAAUUCUUCAUGCUCUAAAGCCUAUUGGGUCACAGUAUAACGUGGGCAGAGUGAGGUACAAGGAUAAUAAGCAAUAUUUCAGUAUCAAAGGUGUUAAUGGCUACAACUUAGAGAACCACUAAUUGUUGCAUGAGGCUAUAUAAAUGCCAGGUCUUGGGAUGGGAAUUGUGGCUGCACUGGGCUUUGUUUAGGCUUCAGUAAAAGGCAUGAUGCUGAUAUGUUAGGGGUGUGUUUAAAGCCUGGCACUGGGAUGGUGUAUCUCUCUUAGUACACCCUAAACAAGCUGAGUUAAAUCUUUAAUCUUGGCCUUACCUAACGUGUAAGGCAUUUUUACAGAAGGUACUUGGUGAAGUACUGUUCUUUUUGAAAUUUGCUAUAAAUGACUUUUGGCUGCAAAUGCUUUUGAAAACUCCAUAUACAGGAUUGUUUCUGAAGAAAGAGUGUGAACUCUAGAUUAUGUCAUAGGUUUUACAUCUUUUUGUUUUGAUACAACACUUCUAAACUUGCGGUUUAGACAUUUCUAAACAAUAUUUACUAGCAAAGCAUAAAAGCUUCCUUUUUUUAAGCGCUCACAUAUAAUAACCAUACCCCUACACACAUUUUAAAGGCAUUCCUACUAUCAUCUCCAAAUUUAUACCACUUGGCAAAGUACUUUACUUGUAAUAUUUUACACCCACUGACAGGUUUUGCAUUCACCAUCUAAACUUAUAGAGGAAUUCUGAGUG